Molecule: long non-coding RNA, 1278 nt
Organism: Cannabis sativa
Lineage: Eukaryota; Viridiplantae; Streptophyta; Magnoliopsida; Rosales; Cannabaceae
Exons: 6
Source: RefSeq, a predicted model, not a curated record
UAGUUAAUAUUCAUCAUCUUCCCCAGUGCCCACACCUACGCCUCUCUCUCUCGUGCGAUUACCCUACCCCAGCUCUCUCGUGCGAUUACCCCAACCAGACCCAAAAUUUUUUCCCCAUCUGAAGCCGGCGCGAGGUCCUCCCUCUCAGGCGGAGGCCGGUGCUUCUCCUUAGGCGCAGUAGACGGCUGGUGCUUUUCGCGAGCUGUAACUUCGGGUAUUUCCAUCAAAACCCCUUUUGCACCAAGCACUUUAGAAAGUGCCGUUCCUCACCAAAAAACCCCAAACACCAAACACUGCCUCCACUACCGUCGGACCCUUUCUCAGUUUUUUUCCACAACUGACGUCUCUCUACUGUCCUCCUCCUCUCACAACAACCAUCGACAGCUGAACCAGGGUUCUAAUAUUUUUUGGGAGGGGUUUGCUCUGCAAUUUCAAACAUUUUUCAACUCAAAUUUACACUCGAGAGAGGGUAAACCGAGUUGGGCUCAGCUGCAAUUUUCCCCAGAAUCGAGAUGGCGAAGACGAUUGUUGAUGGCGUCUUGGGCCUUAACCUUGAUGAUUCAGCAAGCAAUUUAGUUGUUGCUUGUCUACUUUAUGGCUUGACAAUUGAUGUACCAUCAUACAAUAUCAAAGGAUAGGGUGAAACUUUCUCCUCUUUUGGAUAGUUAGAAGCUAGCAGAAAUCUUUACUAUUGGAACCAUACUUGGUGGUUACUUGGCAAUGAUGGCAGUUAUUUUCUUUUGGACAACAUACAAGACAGACUUCUUUGCUUGCGAUAAGGAAAGAAAUUCCACCGAAGCUAAAAGUUCGACGCCCAACUGUACGUAUUCUUUAUUUUAAAUUUCAAUUAUAUUUUAUUAAGAUCUUUAUUAAUUUAAAGAAAAAUCUUUACUGUCCACAUCAACUGGAGGACACCGAAUGUGGAUAUUAUGUAAUGAAGAUGAUGAAAGAUUUAAUUCAAGCUUCGAAUCGGAAACACUUUUUGGCCGAGUUAAGUGAUGCAAAGUACACAGAAGAAGAAAUUGAUGAAGUGAAAGAGCAUUGAGCAAGUGAGAUGUUAUCAGUUAUUCAAACUUACCGACGUUAGUUGUUUUUUGUUUUAAUAGGGCAAGUGAGAUGUUAUCGGUUAUUCAAACUUACCGAUGUUAGUUAUUUUUUGUUUUAAUAGACCAAUAGUUAUUAUAUAAUUUUAUAGUUAUGGAUUUAUUAGUAUAAUGAACUAAUAUGUAAUAUUUAUUAAUUUUGUUGAUGUGAAUUAUUAUAAUGGUCUAAUUUAUA